This 253-nucleotide ribosomal RNA is filed under the name uncultured bacterium. RNAcentral's name for it is "partial 16S ribosomal RNA". It matches the Rfam family "Bacterial small subunit ribosomal RNA", at positions 524 to 776 of the family's 1533-position model. RNAcentral also lists the same sequence under 1 other name. The record is from RNAcentral.
GACGGAGGGUGCAAGCGUUGUUCGGAAUCACUGGGCGUAAAGCGCGUGUAGGCGGUCCGAUAAGUCGAGUGUGAAAGCCCGAGGCUCAACCUCGGAAGUGCAUUCGAAACUGUCGGGCUUGAGUACGGGAGAGGGAAGUGGAAUUCCUGGUGUAGAGGUGAAAUUCGUAGAUAUCAGGAGGAACACCGGUGGCGAAGGCGGCUUCCUGGACCGAUACUGACGCUGAGACGCGAAAGCGUGGGGAGCAAACAGG